RNAcentral lists this long non-coding RNA (338 nucleotides) under Setaria viridis. RNAcentral's name for it is "long non-coding RNA (SVIR_LNC003949)". Lineage: Eukaryota; Viridiplantae; Streptophyta; Magnoliopsida; Poales; Poaceae. The record is from RNAcentral.
AAUAUAUGGGAUAUGACAUUUCUUGUGCUAACCGUUAUCUCAUAAAAAAACUUUGAAUGAGAAAACCUGAUGGCAAAACUCAUAAAGAAAAGAGUACAAGGUGAUAUUGUUAACACGACGCAUCAUUCAAGGAGACUCCCCCAGAAGCUUGUAAAUCUCGAAACCGUCUCAUACCAAUUCCCUUAACACAUUUCUCAAAUGAGGAAGCUUUUGAAGCUAGUUGGGAGUUAGUAAAGAUGUCGGCAAGAAUAUCACAAGAGUUUGUUUGCAAGAUAUUUAUUUCCCCACUUUGCUGAAGGUGAUAGGGAUAAAAUAUCUUGGGAGCAAUGUGCUUGGUG